GCGGGGGUCGCCUAGCCUGGCCAAUGGCGGUGGGCUCAAGACCCACUGGGUUAGUCCCGUCGUGGGUUCGAAUCCCACCCCCCGCA
RNAcentral lists this transfer RNA (86 nucleotides) under Candidatus Aenigmarchaeota archaeon ex4484_224. RNAcentral describes it as "tRNA-Leu". It matches the Rfam family "tRNA". Rfam says of the family: Transfer RNA (tRNA) molecules are approximately 80 nucleotides in length. Their secondary structure includes four short double-helical elements and three loops (D, anti-codon, and T loops). Lineage: Archaea; Nanobdellati; Candidatus Aenigmatarchaeota. The record is from RNAcentral.